UACGAAGGGGACUAGCGUUGUUCGGAUUUACUGGGCGUAAAGCGCGCGUAGGCGGAUCGCUAAGUCAGGGGUGAAAUCCCAGGGCUCAACCCUGGAACUGCCUUUGAUACUGACGAUCUGGAGAUCGGGAGAGGUUGGUGGAAUUCCGAGUGUAGAGGUGAAAUUCGUAGAUAUUCGGAGGAACACCAGAAGCGAAGGCGGCCAACUGGCCCGAUACUGACGCUGAAGCUCGAAAGCUAGGGGAGCAAACGGG
Molecule: ribosomal RNA, 253 nt
Filed under: uncultured bacterium
Lineage: Bacteria
Description: partial 16S ribosomal RNA
Rfam family: Bacterial small subunit ribosomal RNA
Source: RNAcentral